CUCUCUCUCUCUCUCUCUCUCUCUCUCUCUCUCUCUCUCUCUCUCUCGUUAUAACUCUCUGAUCUCUGGAGGUUUGAACUGCAGCCUCUCUCUCUCUCUCGUUAUAACUCUCUGAUCUCUGGAGGUUUGAACUGCAGCCUCUCUCUCUCUCUCGUUAUAACUCUCUGAUCUCUGGAGGUUUGAACAGCAGCCUCUCUCUCUCUCUCUCUCUCUCUCUCUCUCUCUCUCUCUCUCUCUCUCUCUCUCUCUCUCGUUAUAACUCUCUGAUCUCUGGAGGUUUGAACUGCAGCCUCUCUCUCUCUCUCGUUAUAACUCUCUGAUCUCUGGAGGUUUGAACAGCAGCCCCUCUCUCUCUCUCUCGCUCUCUCGUUAUAACUCUCUGAUCUCUGGAGGUUUGAACAGCAGCCCCUCUCCCUCUCUCUCUCUCGUUUUAACUCUCUGAUCUCUGGAGGUUUGAACAGCAGCCCCUCUCUCUCUCUCUCUCUCGUUAUAACUCUCUGAUCUCUGGAGGUUUGAACAGCAGCCUCUCUCUCUCUCUCUCUCUCGUUAUAACUCUCUGAUCUCUGGAGGUUUGAACAGCAGCCUCUCUCUCUAUCAGAACAACAUCUCUUUGUGUUCUUCUGUUACAUAAACCACUGUUAUGGUUGUUGAGAUGUAAACACUAGAAUAACAGCUUCAUUCCAAACCCAUUGUGUUUAGUCGCUGAGGGCGGCCCCAAAUGAGACCUAUUCCCUAUGUAGUGCACUACAUUUGACCCCAAAUGGGACCUAUUCCCUAUGUAGUGCACUACUUUUGACCCCAAAUGGGACCUACUCCCUAUGUAGUGCACUACUUUAGACCAGAUCCCUGUGAUGGGAGUACUCCAUCACCAUUGUCACUCCAUAAUGAACACAGCAACAUACAGACACACCGGCAUACCGGCUCCCACCCACUGAGGAUUUAGGAGUGAGUUGGUUGUCAUGGGGACAGUCACUGUGUGAUGAAAGUAAUGAUGGAUUGUAUUGGCCUCUCUUUGUGCCAGCGGGCUACUGUACUGCGAUGAGUCACUGGAUCGCUCCGUUUAGCCAGCAUGCAGCCUCACUGACUGUCAAUACACAGGUUAGACAGGGCAGGGAGAGAGGGGGGCUGGUUAGACAGGGC
This is a long non-coding RNA of Oncorhynchus keta (chum salmon), 1140 nucleotides long. RefSeq lists it as uncharacterized. The record is from RefSeq and is a predicted model, not a curated record. NCBI's taxonomy places the organism in Eukaryota, Metazoa, Chordata, Actinopteri, Salmoniformes, Salmonidae. The transcript is spliced from 4 exons.